RNAcentral lists this ribosomal RNA (449 nucleotides) under uncultured bacterium. Its description in RNAcentral is "bacterial SSU rRNA". It matches the Rfam family "Bacterial small subunit ribosomal RNA", at positions 338 to 795 of the family's 1533-position model. The record is from RNAcentral.
CCUACGGGUGGCAGCAGUCGAGAAUCUUUCACAAUGGGGGAAACCCUGAUGGAGCGACGCCGCGUGGAGGAUAAGGUCUUCGGAUUGUAAACUCCUGUCAUGCGAGAACAAAGCCUCACGGCCUGAUAGUAUCGCAAGAGGAAGAGACGGCUAACUCUGUGCCAGCAGCCGCGGUAAUACAGAGGUCUCAAGCGUUGUUCGGAAUCACUGGGCGUAAAGGGUGCGUAGGCUGCGUGGAAAGUCAGAUGUGAAAUCCGGAGGCUCAACCUCCGAAUAGCAUCCGAUACUCCCAUGCUAGAGGGUUGUAGAGGAGCUUGGAAUUCUCGGUGUAGCAGUGAAAUGCGUAGAUAUCGAGAAGAACGCUCGCGGCGAAGGCGAAGCUCUGGGCAACAUCUGACGCUGAUGCACGAAGGCUAGGGGAGCAAACGGGAUUAGAUACCCGAGUAGUC